GAGGGUCUAGCUCAGUGGUAGAGCGCAUGCUUAGCAUGCACAAGGUCCUGGGUUCAAUCCCCAGUACCUCCA
This 72-nucleotide transfer RNA is filed under the name Camelus bactrianus (Bactrian camel). It matches the Rfam family "tRNA". Rfam says of the family: Transfer RNA (tRNA) molecules are approximately 80 nucleotides in length. Their secondary structure includes four short double-helical elements and three loops (D, anti-codon, and T loops). Further hydrogen bonds mediate the characteristic L-shaped molecular structure. tRNAs have two regions of fundamental functional importance: the anti-codon, which is responsible for specific mRNA codon recognition, and the 3' end, to which the tRNAs corresponding amino acid is attached (by aminoacyl-tRNA synthetases). tRNAs cope with the degeneracy of the genetic code in two manners: having more than one tRNA (with a specific anti-codon) for a particular amino acid; and 'wobble' base-pairing, i.e. permitting non-standard base-pairing at the 3rd anti-codon position. The record is from Rfam by way of RNAcentral. Lineage: Eukaryota; Metazoa; Chordata; Mammalia; Artiodactyla; Camelidae. RNAcentral also lists the same sequence under 2 other names.